GGCUGGCUGACAGACAUACAAACACAAAUAUUGAUCCAGAGAGAUCCAAACUACUCUGAUUUUGCUGAGUCCCAUGACUAGAGCUUGAAUCAUGGGCAGUUUUGAUGGAGAAAAAAAGGGCAAGGAACAGGAGCCCUUCCCUGUGGGUCUUAUUUAGCACUUCAGAGAAAAAUAGGAGAGUGAAGACAUCCAUGGAGAAAAUACAUUAGCAGUCCUAAAGAUAAAGGAACAUCCCCAACACUCUUUAAUCAUACUGUCUCAACUAUUUACCCUUCCUGGGAGAAACACUUAAAAAAAAAAACUAUUGCCAAUCACCUGUUUGCAAUAUCUCAACAACCCAUCUGCAAAUUAUGUUCCUAUCUGGAAGCACUAUAUAAACAGCACUUUCCUUCAAGAAACAUCUUUACUCAUUUUACCAUUGGCCUUUUUAAAAAGUUGUCAUACUUUUGCCAAGAACAGGAAAUGGGAGGGUCUAUAAUUUCUCUGAUGUAAAUCUUCAAAACAACAGCAACAUCCCAUUUCAACAAAAUGAAACAAAAAGAGCAAUCCAACUCAGGAGAAGCCUGUGGAAGGGAUGAUGACAGAGGAGGAACUGACAGGAAGCUCCAUGGCAUCCAUUUGCUGUUGGGGAGCUGCCGGGCUGGUCGAAUGUCAGCUCAGCUGGGAGCACACAGGAAUGGAAAAGAAAAAGCCAGCUCUCACGAAUAUCCCUACCAACUCCCCAUUAACUUCCAUUAUAAUUAUUUUCUUAGACCAGCUUUUUUCUUGGAGUAACUUUGGCCUGGAUCAGAACCCAUAGGAGUGUUCCCAAUGGGAGUUGGAUGUUGUGUAAGUCCCUCCCCUCAGCCCCUACUCCAACACACCCCAGAAAGCCCCUUUUUGGGGGCAUUCUGCCAUUUUCCCCUCCACUGGGCUAAGCUUCCCUGGCAGACCCUCAGCCGAACCAGUGUGAGGGGCUUUGCUGGUGGAGCCAGGACCCUACUGGCUCUGCUGUGGGUCUGUCAUAUCCAACUCCUCUCAGCCCAGCAUUAAUACAAGGUGGAUUGCACCCUUAGAAUCUAGCCACCUUCUGAUUUAAACCCAGCAUUCACAGUUAACAAUCUUAAUACACUUUUUUUGGUUGUUUGUUAAUGUUUUAUUGAAACAUUUUCAUUUGCUUGAUGGCAUAGCAAUGCCUGCCUUUCUUCCAUCUUCUUGGCAUUAAUUUGAAAUUACCAGACUCAGGACUAGGGAUGGCCAAAUUUGUCAGUUUUGGUUUCUCAGUUUCUCAUUUUUCUCCACAUUUCCACAUCAAGUUGAGGGUUUUUUUUAAAAAAAAGGUCCUCGUAAAAAUUCAUUGGUAUUUGAGUGUGAAUUUCUCUUAAUGCACACAUUUUUGUAUGCAAUUUUCUGUUGUAAUGCACUUUAUAUGUUAUUUUCACUAAUAUGUGCAUUUUAAUGCACAGUUUACCCUGUUGUAUGCAUUUUUGUACACAUUACUUGUCUGGAGAACUGCUCUGUAAAACUGACAGAAAUGUGAAAGAUGAAGGAUGGUUGUGUUUUGGUUUGCAUAUUGGUUUGGGAAGUGUGCGUUUCAUAGGUUCACCUUUAAAUGCAAACUGAAUUGAAUUUCACAUCCAUCCCUACCCAGAACAGCAUAGCUGUACAAAAUCAAUAAUCUUGGGAGAUUCUGAACAAUGAGCAAUCCGCAGUCAUCUAAGGUAUACUGGAUAAAAAAGAAAAUAGAAUACUGUUCACCAAGACCAGACAACGGAGAUAUGGAAAAUCAGAAAAUCAUGUGCAGUAUUAGAGUCACACAAUACGUGUGUUCCCCAUGUGUCCUGGAACAGAUGCAUGAAUAGGAAAUGUCAUAAUGUGUUCCAUAAAGAAAGCAAAGAAAACCUAAGAACGCAUUUUGACAAGAGAUUGUAAGAUAAAAAUUGCAGUUCUGAUCUGAAGUUUAUGGUAUAAAAAGCUAAACAAACCACCACAUAAACAUCAUGAUCUGCUUUACUCACUUUUGGAGUGUAUGCACAUUUCCUAUUGCAUAUAUUGAGCACCUCCCUCCUCAUAGAAGAAAAUGGAAGCCCCCAAGCUCCUGGAUCAUGUCCAAAAAACAUCAGGAAUAGUUUUUAGGCCACAUCUAGCAUUACCAAUUUCACUCAUGGGAAUACCUACAAGUUACUCUCAUGACUAAAUCUGCAGUAUUAGAAGGGCAGACACCUAUGUCUAGUAAUAAGCCAGAGUUAGAUCAACAUAUAUUUCCUUGUUGCAUGAGCAGAUAUGGGCAUAAGCCUUUCCAACACUAUAAUUUUCACCACUGGGGUGACUUGAAAGAAAAAAAUUAUAUGGGUAAAUCACGCACACUACAUGAAACAGGAAACUAAUUAUCCCCUUUACCUACAAUUUUAAGGUUACUUUUAAUAUGUUGUUUUCCAUUUAGAGGAAAAGUGAUAAAAACACGUGAAUGAAAAAAUAACAUUAGAAGAAACCCUAAAAACACACGGAAAGGAGAAUUUAUUUCCUGCUGCAUGUAUUAUAUAGAAAAUACACACCAUCCACAAAACAAAUAAAUUUAUGUCAAUUGAAUUAAAGGAUUUGUUUGCAAAUAUGGCAGACUUAGAAAAAAUGGUUCCUUGCCAACAGAAAGUACACAAGCAACCUUGGAGAUUUUGCAAGGGAAAUGUUGCAUGAUUCAUAACUCUUGGCCGAAGGAUACAUUUAGAUUCAGAGCUAUCAGGGUUCUGUGCAAAAUAUAACAACCAUUUUAACAAAGGCAUCUUUUUAGAAACUUAAAACUCACCAUCAGUUGACCACCCAGAGUGUUUCUAAGUGAAAAGAAUUUUUUUCCCUCUGGUACAGAUGAAAUAUUUAAAUACUGCAAAGGAAAUCUAGGGAAAUUUUCAAUGAAGCCUUCUAAGAAAUUGUACUUGAAAUAGUAACUAAAAA
Long non-coding RNA from Rhineura floridana, 2928 nucleotides. RefSeq lists it as uncharacterized. The record is from RefSeq and is a predicted model, not a curated record. Lineage: Eukaryota; Metazoa; Chordata; Lepidosauria; Squamata; Rhineuridae. The transcript is spliced from 5 exons.